AACGAACGCUGGCGGCAUGCCUAACACAUGCAAGUCGAACGAGACCUUCGGGUCUAGUGGCGCACGGGUGCGUAACGCGUGGGAACCUGCCCUUAGGUUCGGAAUAACUCUCCGAAAGGGGUGCUAAUACCGGAUAAUGUCUACGGACCAAAGAUUUAUCGCCUUUGGAUGGGCCCGCGUUGGAUUAGCUAGUUGGUAGGGUAAAAGCCUACCAAGGCGACGAUCCAUAGCUGGUCUGAGAGGAUGAUCAGCCACACUGGGACUGAGACACGGCCCAGACUCCUACGGGAGGCAGCAGUGGGGAAUAUUGGACAAUGGGCGAAAGCCUGAUCCAGCAAUGCCGCGUGAGUGAUGAAGGCCUUAGGGUUGUAAAGCUCUUUUACCCGGGAUGAUAAUGACAGUACCGGGAGAAUAAGCUCCGGCUAACUCCGUG
RNAcentral lists this ribosomal RNA (433 nucleotides) under uncultured bacterium. RNAcentral describes it as "partial 16S ribosomal RNA". It matches the Rfam family "Bacterial small subunit ribosomal RNA", at positions 29 to 507 of the family's 1533-position model. The record is from RNAcentral.